GACGAACGCUGGCGGCGUGCUUAACACAUGCAAGUCGAACGGUGAAGCUCCAGCUUGCUGGAGUGGAUCAGUGGCGAACGGGUGAGUAACACGUGAGCAACCUGCCCCUGACUCUGGAAUAAGCGCUGGAAACGGCGUCUAAUACUGGAUACGAGAAGGGUCCGCAUGGGCACUUUCUGGAAAGUUUUUCGGUUAGGGAUGGGCUCGCGGCCUAUCAGCUUGUUGGUGAGGUAAUGGCUCACCAAGGCGACGACGGGUAGCCGGCCUGAGAGGGCGACCGGCCACACUGGGACUGAGACACGGCCCAGACUCCUACGGGAGGCAGCAGUGGGGAAUAUUGCACAAUGGGCGAAAGCCUGAUGCAGCGACGCCGCGUGAGGGAUGACGGCCUUCGGGUUGUAAACCUCUUUCAGCAGGGAAGAAGCGAAAGUGACGGUACCUGCAGAAGAAGCACCGGCUAACUACGUG
Molecule: ribosomal RNA, 468 nt
Filed under: uncultured bacterium
Lineage: Bacteria
Description: partial 16S ribosomal RNA
Rfam family: Bacterial small subunit ribosomal RNA
Source: RNAcentral